Molecule: ribosomal RNA, 479 nt
Filed under: uncultured bacterium
Lineage: Bacteria
Description: partial 16S ribosomal RNA
Rfam family: Bacterial small subunit ribosomal RNA
Source: RNAcentral
GAUGAACGCUAGCGGGAGGCCUAACACAUGCAAGCCGAGCGGUAUUGUUUCUUCGGAAAUGAGAGAGCGGCGUACGGGUGCGUAACACGUGUGCAACCUGCCUUUAUCUGGGGGAUAGCCUUUCGAAAGGAAGAUUAAUACUCCAUAAUAUAUUGAACGGCAUCGUUUAAUAUUGAAAGCUCCGGCGGAUAGAGAUGGGCACGCGCAAGAUUAGCUAGUUGGUGAGGUAACGGCUCACCAAGGCGAUGAUCUUUAGGGGGCCUGAGAGGGUGAUCCCCCACACUGGUACUGAGACACGGACCAGACUCCUACGGGAGGCAGCAGUGAGGAAGAUUGGUCAAUGGGUGCAAGCCUGAACCAGCCAUCCCGCGUGAAGGACGACUGCCCUAUGGGUUGUAAACUUCUUUUGUAUAGGGAUAAACCUACCCUCGAGAGGGUAGCUGAAGGUACUAUACGAAUAAGCACCGGCUAACUCCGUG